AUCACAGUUAGAGAAUAUACAGUCAGGAUCCUCACCAAACCGCCCGUAUCACAGCACUGCCUAACCACAGUGAAGAAUACUUUAUGAGCUGGUGUGGGCAAGGCUUUGAGAAUAAAUGUUAGAUGUCUACUGGGUGUUAUGUUCUGGGUACACAGAGAUGAAAGGACAGCCGCUGUCUACUUGAACCUUACACUCCAGAGCGAGCGAGCAUGUGUGUGGCGGAGGAGAGGCAGAGGAAGAAGGAGAGAGAGUCUCAGGUAGACUCCACCCUGAGCGCGGAGCUGGAGGCAAGGCUCAAUUCCAAAACCCCAGUCGAAAGUAAGAGUCCGACACUUAACCAACUGUGCCAGGCACCCCUAAAUUUGACUAUUUUAGAUAAAGAGCGUCUGUUCACCAAAAGAAAAACCAUGAAAAGUGAAAGCCAAGCCACAAAACAUAUUUGUAAAGAAACUGAAGUCACGAGAGGGUAGGCGGUGUCCCCAAAGUCACCCAGAGUGUUACCAGUAAAGCAAGACAGGAACCAAGAUUGUGUGCUCCUUACCUGUUCUCUUUCCAAUCUGCCAACUUGAAAUUUAAACAAGGUCCACAAAUCCAUACAAGGAAUGAAAUCAGCAACCUGUGUUCUCUGGUCUGAGCACAACAGCUGCCAGGAAGAAAAUCUGAUAUGCACCACGGACAAGGACUUAAU
Long non-coding RNA from Zalophus californianus (California sea lion), 688 nucleotides. RefSeq lists it as uncharacterized. Lineage: Eukaryota; Metazoa; Chordata; Mammalia; Carnivora; Otariidae. The transcript has 5 exons. The record is from RefSeq and is a predicted model, not a curated record.